Astyanax mexicanus (Mexican tetra) is the source of this 3730-nucleotide long non-coding RNA. RefSeq lists it as uncharacterized. The transcript has 4 exons. The record is from RefSeq and is a predicted model, not a curated record. Lineage: Eukaryota; Metazoa; Chordata; Actinopteri; Characiformes; Acestrorhamphidae.
AGUCUUUCUCCCUCCUCUGGUCUCUACUGCGCAGACUCUGGUCUCUGAAUCGCCAAAAUGGCGGAAGAUUUUGGCUUCAUUUUCAUUGAAUGAAUGGGAACGGCGACACGGCGUCCAUCUUUAUAUACAGUCUAUGGUCUCCGUCGGUCUUUGCACCUUCACCUGUCGUUUGUCUCUCUCAGUGUUUAAUAGCUUUUCUCAGUGUUUCCUUGUUCUCUCUUAGCCUUGGUUCCUUGUUUCUUGUUUAUUUCUUGUUUUCUCGUUUAUAGUUUAUUUCCUUGUUUAUUUCUAGUUUCUUGUUUUAUUUCUUGUUCCCUAGCUCCCUGUAUAUACCCUGCUUGUGUUGAUUCCUAGUUUAUUCCUUGUAUAUAUUCCCUGUUUGUUUAUUUAUUAUCUCUAGUUGGUUUAGUUUAGGUUCUUUGAUUUGUUAUUGGUUAUUUGUGUAUCUUUGUUUCAUGUUACUUGUUUUCUUGUUAUUUAUUUAUUAAAUUAUUAUUUAUUUUCACCCUACCUGCACUUGUGUCCGCUUUCCUCGUCACCCUGCCUGGGUAUUCCUGACACCACGCAUGGACACUGGUGUUAAGAAGCACAUCUCGAUGGGUUGCACAAUUCGACAGAACACCGCCGGCUGUACCGUCGUAGGUGCUCUGCUUAACCACUGAGCAACACACAUUUCUCAGGUCUCAUAUUAAUAAGACUCAUUCAGAAUGGUGAUGUCCAUAUAUUUUAUUUUAAAAAUUAUUGCAAUAGCAAAAAGGUGUAUGUAGCACUGUCUGUUACAAUUAAUAAUUAAUAUAUAGCAACUAUUGUGUAGAUUUUACUUGCAGUUCAUUGUUAUUUUAUUAAUAGUAUUGUUGUCCGUUCAUGUUGUGGUGAUAAUUACAAUAUAAAUAGCCUAAAUUAGUAACAUAUUUUUGGCAUAAUAUUUUAAAGAUGAGUUUGCACGUUUCCUUCUGGAAAAGUCUGACCGAACACGCCUGAAAACACCUUAGUUAAGACCACGGUGGUUCAAACCAACAUAGUUCAAACUUCUGUGGUACCAACAAAGUACAAUGGUUUCGGGAAACAGUCAUACUUCAGAUGUUUAACGAUGCAUCAUACCAAUGAAAGCGCAGCGUAAGUUCUACUAUAGAGUCCAAUGCUACGUCACCUAAUUACCUAUCCAAUCAGCUGUUCCCUUCUGUCUUUAAAUAAGGAUAACUCAUUUAGUACUUUGCUGAAUUUUAGACACUGAUGGUCGUUCUUUCCUUCUUUCUUCCCCACCGCCACCAGGAUUGUCCCGUUUGGUUGCCCGGGUGUUGGCUCCGGCCUGUCUUCAAUAUACGACAGGAUCUGCAGAGCCCAGAUGUAUCAAGUCCUGGGCCGAUGACGGGACCUACGCCAAAGACUCUACUAGAAGAAACUGUUUCUAUAUAACUUUCUUUUAAAUAUUACUGACUUUGUUUUUAUAAAAAAAAAAUUGUUUAAAAAUUAUAUGGUUCAACUAACAAAUUUGCUUCCAGAGUCGCAAUAGUAGAACGUUAGUUCAAUGCUAGGCUCCGUCAUUGUACGGGAAACACACCCCGGGUGGGGAGUUGUGAAGAGCACCGCUCAAUUACAGUUGUAUGGUAAGCUAAUUUUUUUUUUUUCCAGACUAGCAAUUAAAAAAAGUUGAUAGCUAAAUGUGUCUGAGAGCGAGAGGUCCAAUAAUACUCUAAUAACACUACUAAGCUACAUGAAGUUUGGAGUUCUGUAGUGAUGUAGACUAAGCAGAAAGUUGGUUCCUAUGUGCACUAUGCUCCUCAGCAUCCGCUGACCCCGCUCUGUUAUUUCACAUUGACAGAGCGAGUUGCUGUCAUUCCCAGUCACUUACACUGUGUUAUUACAUCACUGACAGUUGGUUGUGGAAUAUUUAGUAGUGAGGAAAUUUCAAGCCUGGACUUGGCACAGUACCAUGCUGUAAUUCAAUGAGCCAUUAUUUCACUAAUACAUAAUUGUUUAUAAUUGUUUGUAGAAGUAGUCUGCAUGCUUGGUUUAAUACACAUGUGGCCAUAGAAGUUUUGGAAGUAUUAGAUUCUGAGUUAAAUUAUUUGGAUGGAUGAUGCUUUAUAUUACAGGUGGUGUCCUCAAAAGCAGUUGGCUUCUGCGGUGGAGCAGAGGCUGAAAGUGUUGCAUUUCCAUGCUCCGCGACCGCAAACUGCGAGAAAAAGUUAAUCCAAUGGGGGUCAGUGUACAGCAGCGUGGUUACCACAUUUAAUGUGAAAGCACGUUUAGGCCGGCUCCUGGGCUGUACAGUGGGAUGAUGCCCUCUUAGCAUUGUAGAGAAUAAAGGCUUUAAUAAUAUGGUGAAAAUAAUGUAGCCUCAUUACACCUUACCAUACCCAAGACACAAUGCAGUCUCUCCUGUCCGUACAAUCCACAGCCAGAGGCAAGCCACAUCAUGAUGCUGAAAAAAAAAGACAUUACAAGGCAUACCUGCUGAAUGAUGAUAACUCACAUUACAUACGUCACAAGGUCCAGUAAAAUUAUGCUGUGAUAGUGUGGAGACCCUGACAUUAUCACUUAUGCGGACACAAAAAGAGACAGUAAUUUAAAAAGUGAAAUAUAAAAAAUUAACAGAAGAAGACACUCAUGUUCCAUGAACAAGUUGUUUGAGGAGAUGCUUAUUGAAGUUAGAACCUCCGCCUGUUGAGGGCAGUCUACUGCAGCAGUUGCACUGCUGUGGAUUUCCACAUGUCAUCUUUACUUCUGUGCUGAGAAGAUUUUGUCAAAAUUUGGAGGUUAAAGGUAAUUAAAACCUAUUAAAUAUUACUUGGAGUUGGUGGUAGUCUGUUUUUAUGCCAUACCUGUCAAGUCUUGCGUUUUGGCCGGGAAACUACCAUAUUUUGCUCCGUAUUAAAGUUUUUAAAACUUUAUUAUUGAGCCGACAGGCCACUGAUUGCUGCUUGUCUCUGAAAGUCCCGCCUGGGGUGCUGGUUUUGCGGAGCGCAGAGGAGGUCACUGUGAUCGAUUGUUCUAAAAGAAAGGAGGAGUUUUUGAACCAGGUUCCAACCUGGGGAUCUAUUUGAAUCAUGGGAAAAUGGGUCUACCCAGGAAUUACUGCAACAGAAUCAUAAACACAAGGAUUCUAAGGAACAGAUUGCUUGGACUGGGAAUCGUUUGGAUUAUUUUCCCCUUUUUUUAAGGAUUACCGGUAAGACUGAUCAAUUUUUUUUUGGGAUUUUUUCAGAACACUUGUUUUUUCAUAUUUUUUCUUCUUUUUUCUUUUUGGGUACUUUUGGCCUGAAACUGGACUAUUUUUUUUCUAAGGACUGUGUAAUUAUGUGGAAUUUGGUCUACUGUUUUAUAAUCUAUGUCGGUGCGAUCUCUGUGGCAAUUCACUAUAAAAGUAGUAUGUGGGGUUCAUGGCAUAUCCGUGGUAACGUGUAAGUGAUUUGACGUGUUAUCUAUCAGUGUUAGGAAGCAGGAGACCUUCUUUAUUCUAUUUUCUAUGAUGCUCCCCUUAUGGGGAGGUCACAUAGUGGCGCCCGAACAGGGACCCUGCUGUUGUAAUCAUACUAAUUUGAUUCUACCUUUUUUAAAUACUGUCGCUAUAUUUUUGUCUGAUUCACAUUUUCAAAAGGUCCUAAAGGGACUUCACGGCAGGGCCUUUUGUUACUCGAAAAUCCAUGGAUCAAGUCAUGAAUCCCACAUACUACUUUUAUAGUGAAUUGCCACAGAGAUAUGUAACAGACAUGGUCUUAUACACCUU